UACGGAGGGUGCAAACGUUGCUCGGAAUUAUUGGGCGUAAAGCGCACGUAGGCGGACCAUCAAGUCGGAUGUGAAAUCCCUCGGCUUAACCGAGGACGUGCAUUCGAAACUGAUGGCCUUGAGUACGAAAGAGGAUCGCGGAAUUCCCGGUGUAGAGGUGAAAUUCGUAGAUAUCGAGAGGAACACCGGUGGCGAAGGCGGCCUUCUGGACAGUGACUGACGCUGAGACGCGAAAGCGUGGGGAGCAAACAGG
Molecule: ribosomal RNA, 253 nt
Filed under: uncultured bacterium
Lineage: Bacteria
Description: partial 16S ribosomal RNA
Rfam family: Bacterial small subunit ribosomal RNA
Source: RNAcentral